Molecule: long non-coding RNA, 1172 nt
Filed under: Homo sapiens (human)
Lineage: Eukaryota; Metazoa; Chordata; Mammalia; Primates; Hominidae
Description: non-protein coding lnc-UTS2-5:3
Source: RNAcentral
CGGCGCUGGGCCCCCUUAGCUGGAGUGCAGGCUCCGCCCACCCUUUGGGUCUAACCUCCGCGUUCCAAAGUUCCAGCUCCAGCCCUGCGCACUUGGGGACUUCUGCGUGAGGGUCUCUCGCCCCGGCCACAAAUCCCGAGCCGCACCUCUUAAUCGAGGCUCAGGCGUCCCGAGCGGAUCCCGCUUUCUUUUUUCCCUGUGCUGUUUGCAGUCCCACGGCCUCGCACAGAGAAAGUGCCUGACCCCAAGACCUGUGAUGAGACCGCCUAUUUUGUUUUUGUUAUAUACUAAUAGAUAUAGAUAUAUAGAUACAGUCAAUUAUCUGUAAAAUCGGCCAUGUCUCUGCCACCUGGGUAAAAAGGUGUCUCGAAAUUGGGGGCGGAGUCUCUUUUCUGACCCUACCCAAACGCACACAGAAACAACCCCAACAUUUGCAGAGCCCUUAAGCCUGUACACCCAAUGAGGAAUCGCUGGUUAGAGGCCGCGUGAAGGACACCCUGACCAAGCUGGGUCCUGCCCAUGCCGGUAGAUCGUCCAUGGCUUCCCUUGGGGGCUGCCACCCACUGUAAACCUGAGCAAGUUCCUCUCCUGUUCCGAAGCCUGCCCUGGCAAAGCCCCAGUACAUAUUCCAAUCCUGCUCUAGGUCAGUAUUCCCACUGCACCUGUCUACCCCUCGCCCGCCCCCCGGGUCACCACGCAGGACCCCUUGCACGCUCCCCCCACCACCUUUGCUAUGCAACUCCUCCCCUUUAUCUGCUAGGGAGACUCCUAUGCAUUCAUCAAGGUCCAGCUCAAAUCUGGCCACCCUCAGUGGCUUUUCCUGACGCUCUCAGCAGAACCAAACCUCCAGCUUUGUUAUGUGUUGGUGUUGCAGUACACAGACAGCCCUCAUCUCCUUGAGAACAAGAACAAAGCCUGACAUCCCAGCAGCUUGCACAGUGCUGGCGGGGCACGCUGUAAGUGCUCAGCUGAUGGUUGUUGAAUUGCUCUGAAUGGAUUGUGAGCAAGAGACCAGCAGGGGUGGAGGCUGACAGGAGAGACAGCGCCUGCCUCUGUACUCUAAAGUGCCGGGGAACUCGUGGUGAUUUGGAUCCAGUUCAGGCACCUGAAGCCCAGUUAAAGAGAAGGAAUCUUCAGUCUUUUCUCUCUCAGAUACAGCCGGGCACGGUGGC